This is a long non-coding RNA of Cygnus olor (mute swan), 195 nucleotides long. RefSeq lists it as uncharacterized. The transcript is spliced from 3 exons. NCBI's taxonomy places the organism in Eukaryota, Metazoa, Chordata, Aves, Anseriformes, Anatidae. The record is from RefSeq and is a predicted model, not a curated record.
CUGAGGUCAACAUAGCAGGUUCAUAGAUAUUAAACAAACAAACAGACUGAGUGAUCCACUUUAAGAUUGUUUCAAGCUCACCAGUGAGAUGAUAUGUCUGCGUCAUCAAGCCUUUUGAUGGACAGCAUUUUAUCAAAAAUUGGGAAGAGAAAGAAGUUGGGAAAAAUACUAAUACUUGCUGUGAGACUAAAGGGA